GUGCCCCAAGGAAGUGGGAGUUUAUCGAUGUGGAUCAGGGACCAGGACAUGCUGGAGAUCAUCCAGCUGUCGAUCGUCAUCACUGUCCACAGUGCGGAAGGAGUUACAAGCGACGAACUCAUCUUCUUCGUCACUUCAAGAACGAGUGCGGUGAGGCGAAGGCCUUUCAAUGUCCUUAUUGCAAUCAGGACUUUAGGCAGAGGACGAGUAUAUGGACACACAUCAGACAUUGUCAUCAACAUUCAGCGCUUUACUGCAUCGACACGACGACGAAGGAGUUGUUGUAUUAUUCACUUCCUCGGAGGGGAUGAGGGGGUGUGAAUAUGACUUCUUCGAGUCCACAGUCAACGCGUCAUAAUUGCGAAAUUUGUGGAAAGAGUUAUAAGGAGCGACGUAGUUUGUAUCGUCACGUGAAGCUCGAGUGCGGGGUCCCCAGGUCCUUUCAAUGUCCCCAUUGCACGAAACCCUUCAAAAGACGGUCCAGCGUAUGGGAACACAUCCGACACAGACACAAUUGUUUCCCAGUUUAUUGUAUCGAAAUUAGUACUCAGAGGAAGUUGUAUCCGUCGGAGGAGAUUCAAAGUGGAAAUUUGACGAUGUGAGCCCUGUCAUCUCGAAACGUCACGAUUGCUCGAAAUGUCGAAAGAGUUACAGCUAUCGAAGUAAUUUGGUGCGUCACAUCAAGUUCGAGUGCGGAUUACCACGUGAAUUUCAAUGCCCCUAUUGCCAACAGACAUUCAGACAACGGACCAGCACCUGGAAACACAUCAGACACA
Long non-coding RNA from Diachasmimorpha longicaudata, 776 nucleotides. RefSeq lists it as uncharacterized. The record is from RefSeq and is a predicted model, not a curated record. Lineage: Eukaryota; Metazoa; Arthropoda; Insecta; Hymenoptera; Braconidae. The transcript has 3 exons.